UACGUAGGGUGCAAGCGUUAAUCGGAAUUACUGGGCGUAAAGCGUGCGCAGGCGGUUGUGCAAGACAGAUGUGAAAUCCCCGGGCUCAACCUGGGAACUGCAUUUGUGACUGCACGGCUGGAGUGCGGCAGAGGGGGAUGGAAUUCCGCGUGUAGCAGGUGAAAUGCGUAGAUAUGCGGAGGAACACCGAUGGCGAAGGCGGCGAUCUGGGUAGAUACUGACGCUGAGGUGCGAAAGCGUGGGGAGCAAACAGG
This 254-nucleotide ribosomal RNA is filed under the name uncultured bacterium. Its description in RNAcentral is "partial 16S ribosomal RNA". It matches the Rfam family "Bacterial small subunit ribosomal RNA", at positions 524 to 776 of the family's 1533-position model. The record is from RNAcentral.